RNAcentral lists this ribosomal RNA (484 nucleotides) under uncultured bacterium. RNAcentral's name for it is "partial 16S ribosomal RNA". It matches the Rfam family "Bacterial small subunit ribosomal RNA", at positions 28 to 523 of the family's 1533-position model. The record is from RNAcentral.
GAUGAACGCUGGCGGCGUGCUUAACACAUGCAAGUCGAACGGUGAAGCAGGAGCUUGCUCUUGUGGAUCAGUGGCGAACGGGUGAGUAACACGUGAGCAACCUGCCCCUGACUCUGGGAUAAGCGCUGGAAACGGCGUCUAAUACUGGAUAUGUGAUGUGACCGCAUGGUCUGCAUCUGGAAAGAAUUUCGGUUGGGGAUGGGCUCGCGGCCUAUGAGCUUGUUGGUGAGGUAAUGGCUCACCAAGGCGGAGACGGGUAGCCGGCCUGUGAGGGGGACCGGCCAAAAUGGGACUGAGACACGGCCCAAACUCCAAGGGGAGGCAGCAGUGGGGAAUAUUGCAUAAGGUGCGGAAGCAUGAUGCAGCAACGCCGCGUGAGGGAUGACGGCCUUCGGGUUGUAAACCUCUUUUAGCAGGGAAGAAGCGAAAGUGACGGUACCUGCAGAAAAAGCACCGGCUAACUACGUGCCAGCAGCCGCCGUAA